This 76-nucleotide transfer RNA is filed under the name Laribacter hongkongensis. RNAcentral describes it as "tRNA-Ala". It matches the Rfam family "tRNA". Rfam says of the family: Transfer RNA (tRNA) molecules are approximately 80 nucleotides in length. Their secondary structure includes four short double-helical elements and three loops (D, anti-codon, and T loops). Further hydrogen bonds mediate the characteristic L-shaped molecular structure. tRNAs have two regions of fundamental functional importance: the anti-codon, which is responsible for specific mRNA codon recognition, and the 3' end, to which the tRNAs corresponding amino acid is attached (by aminoacyl-tRNA synthetases). tRNAs cope with the degeneracy of the genetic code in two manners: having more than one tRNA (with a specific anti-codon) for a particular amino acid; and 'wobble' base-pairing, i.e. permitting non-standard base-pairing at the 3rd anti-codon position. The record is from RNAcentral. Lineage: Bacteria; Pseudomonadati; Pseudomonadota; Betaproteobacteria; Neisseriales; Aquaspirillaceae.
GGGGGAUUAGCUCGGCUGGGAGAGCACCUGCUUUGCAAGCAGGGGGUCGUCGGUUCGAUCCCGACAUCCUCCACCA